AAAAAGAUAGUAAAAGAUCCCUGGGGAUCGAUCGACCAAGAACAGGCAAAGAGAAGGGAAACCCUAAACUCAAUGUAUCAAGAAAUUGAAGCCUAAAUCACAAGAAAAUUCGAUGCAUGAGGCCUCUUUUGCGAAAAACUAACCCUAACUAUAUGAUGGGUAAGGUCGAAGAAAAGAGGAGAAUCAAGCCAAGCAAAGGAAAUAGGAGCGCACAACUCCGGUAAAUCCUCAACUUAGGCGACUCGGCGAAAUGGAGCGAGCACAUGUCCAUGUCAUGUUAUACCAAAUGCUUCCGCUAGCUUAUGUUCAUCUUUAUGGUCCAUGACUUGUUAUUUUUUUUUUUAACUUUGUUAGUAGUCGUACAUUUGUAAAGCUUGUCGACUUGCUUUGAGUAGUUUAAUGUCAAACGGAUCGUAGUAUGUUGUUUAGUUUAUUAUGUUAAAAACAGGGGGCACGUUCGUUUUACGAACGGGUCAUGCCGAAUUUUUGUAAAAAUUUUACUAUGUAUCAAAGUUGGUAUUUUUGAUGUCUUUAA
This 535-nucleotide long non-coding RNA is filed under the name Helianthus annuus (common sunflower). Lineage: Eukaryota; Viridiplantae; Streptophyta; Magnoliopsida; Asterales; Asteraceae. The record is from RNAcentral.